UACGUAGGGGGCCAGCGUUGUCCGGAAUCAUUGGGCGUAAAGAGCGCGUAGGCGGCCAGAUAAGUCUGGUGUGAAAGUCAAAGGCUCAACCUUUGAAUGCCGCUGGAAACUGUCUGGCUAGAGUCCGGGAGGGGCGAGUGGAAUUCCCGGUGUAGCGGUGAAAUGCGCAGAUAUCGGGAAGAACACCCGUGGCGAAGGCGGCUCUCUGGGACGGUACUGACGCUGAGACGCGAAAGCGUGGGGAGCGAACAGG
This 253-nucleotide ribosomal RNA is filed under the name uncultured bacterium. Its description in RNAcentral is "partial 16S ribosomal RNA". It matches the Rfam family "Bacterial small subunit ribosomal RNA", at positions 524 to 776 of the family's 1533-position model. The record is from RNAcentral.